RNAcentral lists this ribosomal RNA (483 nucleotides) under uncultured bacterium. RNAcentral's name for it is "partial 16S ribosomal RNA". It matches the Rfam family "Bacterial small subunit ribosomal RNA", at positions 28 to 507 of the family's 1533-position model. The record is from RNAcentral.
GACGAACGCUGGCGGCGUGCUUAACACAUGCAAGUCGAACGCUGAAGCUCAGCUUUUGUUGGGUGGAUGAGUGGCGAACGGGUGAGUAACACGUGAGUAACCUGCCCCCUUCUUUGGGAUAACGCCCGGAAACGGGUGCUAAUACUGGAUAUUCACUGGUCUUCGCAUGGGGGUUGGUGGAAAGGGUUUUUCUGGUGGGGGAUGGGCUCGCGGCCUAUCAGCUUGUUGGGGGGGUGAUGGCCUACCAGGGCUUUGACGGGUAGCCGGCCUGAGAGGGUGACCGGUCACAUUGGGACUGAGAUACGGCCCAGACUCCUACGGGAGGCAGCAGUGGGGAAUAUUGCACAAUGGGCGCAAGCCUGAUGCAGCGACGCCGCGUGAGGGAUGGAGGCCUUCGGGUUGUGAACCUCUUUCGCUCAUGGUCAAGCCGCAACAAUGGUUGUGGUGAGGGUAGUGGGUAAAGAAGCGCCGGCUAACUACGUG